Molecule: ribosomal RNA, 460 nt
Filed under: uncultured bacterium
Lineage: Bacteria
Description: partial 16S ribosomal RNA
Rfam family: Bacterial small subunit ribosomal RNA
Source: RNAcentral
CCUACGGGAGGCAGCAGUGAGGAAUAUUGGUCAAUGGCCGGAAGGCUGAACCAGCCAUGCCGCGUGAAGGUCAGUGCCCUAUGGGCGUUACACUUCUUUUGUGCGGGAGCAAUAAUGGUCACGUGUGGCCAGACGAGAGUACCGUACGAAUAAGCAUCGGCUAACUCCAUGCCAGCAGCCGCGGGUAUCCGGGGGUUGAAAGUGUUAUCGGGCUUUAUGGGGUUGAAGGGGUGCGUAGGGUGGGAGGGAAGUCACGGGUGAAAUGCCCCCGCGCAAAGGGGUGAAGUGCCAUUGAUACUGCCUUGCUGGAAUGCGGAUGCGGUGGGAGGAAUGUGUGGUGUAGCGGUGAAAUGCAUAGAUAUCACGCAGAACACCGAUUGCGAAGGCAUCUCACGAAUCCGCGAUUGACGCUGAUGCACGAAAGCGUGGGUAUCAAACAGGAUUAGAUACCCUAGUAGUC